Populus euphratica (Euphrates poplar) is the source of this 749-nucleotide long non-coding RNA. RefSeq lists it as uncharacterized. Lineage: Eukaryota; Viridiplantae; Streptophyta; Magnoliopsida; Malpighiales; Salicaceae. The record is from RefSeq and is a predicted model, not a curated record. The transcript has 2 exons.
GACAUUACUUCGAGGUCACUGCAUCUUUCUUGAAGAGCAUGUUGACAUGUCCUAAAACCUGCAAACUAGAUUGGUCUCUACACACACACAUACAUAGACAAACACGGAAAAAAUAAAUCCAUGGAAAGAAAGACGAAAUCGAUGCAUGCCAUUCCUCUGCAAAAAGCUAUCUGGAGAGUAGGAGAUUGAAGAAAUAUAGUGGAGCUGGUAAACAGUCUCAAAGUUCCCAUUAACAACUGGAGAAAACUAUCUUUAACUUUGAAGUAGCAAAAGGUAGCUCCCAAGGAAUCCAAGGUCCUGCUUUAAUCAUAACAACGCAUUUGAUGUCAUUAUGCAUCCUGGUAUGGCUUCGAGAGUUUAUAUUUUUGCAUCAUUUUGCUUUGUUUUUAUUGAAUCAAAAACCUAACAUUGGAUUAAUCAAACUUGAAAUUCAAAAUUUUCAGGGAAGAUAUGAGUUGAAUUCAGCCAUCAGAAGCUUAGAUUUUGAUCCCUUGUUUUUUUAUAAUGAAAAAAAAAAUGUCUACCAUGCAAAAUGUUUUUUUUUAGAACUAUUGUUGUUGGCCCAUUACGAAGCACUCAUCUUGCAUGGCUCUGGUUUUUUUCUACUUCUAUCUGGGCCAUGCUAGAAUUGUCACCCAAAAGUUCAGGAUUUUUAUUAUUUUUCUUGUUUUUAUCAAAUUAAUGCACCCCUGUUGUUAGAGAGGCUACUGCCAUCCUUGAAGGUUGAUUUAAUCAAAUUCCAUUGACUA